RNAcentral lists this ribosomal RNA (439 nucleotides) under uncultured bacterium. Its description in RNAcentral is "partial 16S ribosomal RNA". It matches the Rfam family "Bacterial small subunit ribosomal RNA", at positions 338 to 795 of the family's 1533-position model. The record is from RNAcentral.
CCUACGGGUGGCAGCAGUGGGGAAUAUUGCACAAUGGGGGAAACCCUGAUGCAGCGACGCCGCGUGAGUGAGGAAGUAUUUCGGUAUGUAAAGCUCUAUCAGCAGGGAAGAAAAUGACGGUACCUGACUAAGAAGCCCCGGCUAACUACGUGCCAGCAGCCGCGGUAAUAGGUAGGGGGCAAGCGUUAUCCGGAUUUAUUGGGUUUAAAGGGUGCGUAGGCGGAAUAUCAGGUCAGCGGGAAAAAUUUGGGGCUCACCCCCGUCGUGCCGUUGACACUGAUGUUCUUGAGUGGGCGAGAAGUAUGCGGAAUGCGUGGUGUAGCGGUGAAAUGCAUAGAUAUCACGCAGAACUCCGAUUGCGAAGGCAGCAUACCGGCGCCCAACUGACGCUGAAGCACGAAAGCGUGGGUAUCGAACAGGAUUAGAUACCCGUGUAGUC